AUUGAACGCUGGCGGCAUGCCUUACACAUGCAAGUCGAACGGCAGCACGGGAGCAAUCCUGGUGGCGAGUGGCGAACGGGUGAGUAAUAUAUCGGAACGUGCCCAGUCGUGGGGGAUAACGUAGCGAAAGCUACGCUAAUACCGCAUACGAUCUAUGGAUGAAAGCGGGGGAUCGCAAGACCUCGCGCGAUUGGAGCGGCCGAUAUCAGAUUAGGUAGUUGGUGAGGUAAAGGCUCACCAAGCCAACGAUCUGUAGCUGGUCUGAGAGGACGACCAGCCACACUGGAACUGGGACACGGUCCAGACUCCUACGGGAGGCAGCAGUGGGGAAUUUUGGACAAUGGACGCAAGUCUGAUCCAGCCAUUCCGCGUGCAGGAUGAAGGCCCUCGGGUUGUAAACUGCUUUGUACGGAACGAAAGGUCUGCCCUAAUACGGCGGGCCCAUGACGGUACCGUAAGAAUAAGGCACCGGCUAACUACGUGCCAG
RNAcentral lists this ribosomal RNA (487 nucleotides) under uncultured bacterium. Its description in RNAcentral is "bacterial SSU rRNA". It matches the Rfam family "Bacterial small subunit ribosomal RNA", at positions 30 to 511 of the family's 1533-position model. The record is from RNAcentral.